GCCAGACUCCUACGGGAGGCAGCAGUGGGGAAUAUUGCACAAUGGGGGGAACCCUGAUGCAGCGACGCCGCGUGAGCGAAGAAGUAUUUCGGUAUGUAAAGCUCUAUCAGCAGGGAAGAAAAUGACGGUACCUGACUAAGAAGCACCGGCUAAAUACGUGCCAGCAGCCGCGGUAAUACGUAUGGUGCAAGCGUUAUCCGGAUUUACUGGGUGUAAAGGGAGCGUAGACGGCAGUGCAAGUCUGGAGUGAAAGGCGGGGGCUCAACCCCCGGACUGCUCUGGAAACUGUACGGCUGGAGUGCAGGAGAGGUAAGUGGAAUUCCUAGUGUAGCGGUGAAAUGCGUAGAUAUUAGGAGGGACACCAGUGGCGAAGGCGGCUUACUGGACUGUAACUGACGUUGAGGCUCGAAAGCGUGGGGAGCAAACAGGAUUAGAUACCCCGGUA
This 445-nucleotide ribosomal RNA is filed under the name uncultured bacterium. Its description in RNAcentral is "bacterial SSU rRNA". It matches the Rfam family "Bacterial small subunit ribosomal RNA", at positions 330 to 792 of the family's 1533-position model. The record is from RNAcentral.